CCCCAAAGUUUAGACUGAUAGUCAUAGUGAAGCAGUCAAGACAAUUAAACAAAAGGUUAAUAACCUUUCCUGUUUAACUUCGCCAAUCACACUUGGGCAAAGGUUGUGGAAACUGAUACCUUGUUCAGUUUUAUUUUGAUAAAUGGAAUAACUCCCGGAAAAAUUAUGCAACUGUAGCUAAAGAUUUUAAACCUUGUUAUCUCUCUUCUUGAUCGAUCAAUUCCGUAUGAUUAAAUCGAAGUAUUAUUUUCUUGGCAAUAAGGUAGAGCGAUGGGGAUUUCAUACAUAGUAGGUCCAAUUUGUAAAUUUGGUUUGACAAAAGUUCAAAUCUUUCUGUUGUGGAUCAAGUGUCGAGUACUUGAGAUUCUUACUGGCAAUUAUUAUUAUAUGAUGCCUCUUAAGGCAAAAUGCAUGAUUGUCAAAGUGUACCUCCAAAUAUACUUGGCAACCUUCCUGAGAAUGUUAUCGAUACCAUUCUAAUGUGUUUGACUUUACGGGAUGUUGUUAGGACAAGCAUCUUAUCAAAGGGAUGGAGGUAUAAUUGGUGCAGACUUCCAGAAUUGACGUUUGAUUAGACACUUUUGGAAACAGAAAUUGCCUUAAUACCCCCUGCACUUGUAUUUACAAAAAUCAUAUGCCAUCUUUUGACACUUCAUGACAGACCAAUAACUAGGUUUUCGCUCUCCAUUCACUAUCAUCUUGGACAUUGUCCUAUGAUCGACAACUUGAUAUGUUAUCUCUCUAGGAAUGGAAUUCAGCAUCUUGUUCUUCAA
This is a long non-coding RNA of Nicotiana tabacum (common tobacco), 773 nucleotides long. RefSeq lists it as uncharacterized. The record is from RefSeq and is a predicted model, not a curated record. NCBI's taxonomy places the organism in Eukaryota, Viridiplantae, Streptophyta, Magnoliopsida, Solanales, Solanaceae.